CUUUGGAAAAAAUUACCAAAUCAGGAACUUAGCCAUUUUCUGCGCUGGAAAACUGUGGAAAAUUAUUUAGAUUUUUUUAAACUGUCGACUAAUAGUACAAUAACAUCGGGAUCGAAGUCGGGCUCGAUGAACAUUUAAUUUUAACAACAUGCUGAAAUUCAAAAAUAUCGAAUGCCAUGUUGAUAUUGCACAGAAGGAAAGUUGGAAAGAGAGUGUCACGAACAGGAGAAUCAUAAUUAGUUUGGGAUGGAAGAAGAUGAGGACAUUUUAAGACCCGUUGCUGCAGUGCCUGAGAUGAUUCCCACAGCGCUGGCGUUUUGAUAAAAGUGGAUAUACAUGUAGAUGCUUAGCCAAUCACUUACUAGGCUUGUGAAUAUGGAAUCCGGAUGCUCAAAAGAAGGACAAGAGCUGUAAGAAAAAAAA
This is a long non-coding RNA of Saccostrea cuccullata (small rock oyster), 423 nucleotides long. RefSeq lists it as uncharacterized. The record is from RefSeq and is a predicted model, not a curated record. Lineage: Eukaryota; Metazoa; Mollusca; Bivalvia; Ostreida; Ostreidae. The transcript has 3 exons.